This 430-nucleotide ribosomal RNA is filed under the name Verrucomicrobiota bacterium. Its description in RNAcentral is "Verrucomicrobia bacterium partial 16S ribosomal RNA". It matches the Rfam family "Bacterial small subunit ribosomal RNA", at positions 355 to 776 of the family's 1533-position model. The record is from RNAcentral. Lineage: Bacteria; Pseudomonadati; Verrucomicrobiota.
UAGGGAAUCUUCGGCAAUGGGGGGAACCCUGACCGAGCAACGCCGCGUGAGUGAAGAAGGUUUUCGGAUCGUAAAGCUCUGUUGUUAAGGAAGAACGAGUGUGAGAAUGGAAAGUUCAUGCUGUGACGGUACCUAACCAGAAAGCCACGGCUAACUACGUGCCAGCAGCCGCGGUAAUACGUAGGUGGCGAGCGUUGUCCGGAAUUAUUGGGCGUAAAGCGCGCGCAGGUGGUUUAGAAAGUCUGAUGUGAAAGCCCACGGCUCAACCGUGGAGGGUCAUUGGAAACUAAUAAACUUGAGUGCAGGAGAGAAAAGUGGAAUUCCUAGUGUAGCGGUGAAAUGCGUAGAGAUUAGGAGGAACACCGGUGGCGAAAGCGGCUUUUUGGCCUGCAACUGACACUGAGGCGCGAAAGCGUGGGGAGCAAACAGG